This 254-nucleotide ribosomal RNA is filed under the name uncultured bacterium. RNAcentral's name for it is "partial 16S ribosomal RNA". It matches the Rfam family "Bacterial small subunit ribosomal RNA", at positions 524 to 776 of the family's 1533-position model. The record is from RNAcentral.
UACGAAGGGGGCUAGCGUUGUUCGGAAUUACUGGGCGUAAAGCGCGUGUAGGCGGGUCUUUUAAGUCAGGGGUGAAAUGCCAAGGCUCAACCUUGGAACUGCCUUUGAUACUGGAGACCUUGAGUCCGGGAGAGGUGAGUGGAAUUGCGAGUGUAGAGGUGAAAUUCGUAGAUAUUCGCAAGAACACCAGUGGCGAAGGCGGCUCACUGGCCCGGUACUGACGCUGAGGCACGAAAGCGUGGGGAGCAAACAGG